CNNUCGAGCGGAACGAUGUAGCUUGCUACAGGCGUCGAGCGGCGGACGGGUGAGUAACGCGUAGGAAUCUGCCUAGUAGUGGGGGACAACAUGUGGAAACGCAUGCUAAUACCGCAUAAGCCCUACGGGGGAAAGGAGGGGAUCUUCGGACCUUUCGCUAUUAGAUGAGCCUGCGUGAGAUUAGCUUGUUGGUGAGGUAAAGGCUCACCAAGGCGACGAUCUCUAGCUGGUCUGAGAGGAUGACCAGCCACACUGGGACUGAGACACGGCCCAGACUCCUACGGGAGGCAGCAGUGGGGAAUAUUGGACAAUGGGCGCAAGCCUGAUCCAGCCAUGCCGCGUGUGUGAAGAAGGCCUUAGGGUUGUAAAGCACUUUCAGAGGGGAGGAAAGGUUAUUGAUUAAUACUCAAUAGCUGUGACGUUACCCUCAGAAGAAGCACCGGCUAACUCUGUGCCAGCAGCCGCGGUAAUACAGAGGGUGCAAGCGUUAAUCGGAAUUACUGGGCGUAAAGCGCGCGUAGGUGGUUUGUUAAGUCGGAUGUGAAAGCCCAGGGCUCAACCUUGGAAUGGCACCCGAUACUGGCANGCUAGAGUACGAUAGANGAGUGUGGAAUUUCCUGUGUAGCGGUGAAAUGCGUANAUAUNNNAAGGAACAUCAGUGGCGANNGCGACACUCUGGAUUGNUACUGACACUG
This 695-nucleotide ribosomal RNA is filed under the name Marinomonas sp. SC14. RNAcentral's name for it is "bacterial SSU rRNA". It matches the Rfam family "Bacterial small subunit ribosomal RNA", at positions 59 to 748 of the family's 1533-position model. The record is from RNAcentral. Lineage: Bacteria; Pseudomonadati; Pseudomonadota; Gammaproteobacteria; Oceanospirillales; Oceanospirillaceae.